This 254-nucleotide ribosomal RNA is filed under the name uncultured bacterium. Its description in RNAcentral is "partial 16S ribosomal RNA". It matches the Rfam family "Bacterial small subunit ribosomal RNA", at positions 524 to 776 of the family's 1533-position model. The record is from RNAcentral.
UACAGAGGGGGCAAGCGUUGUUCGGAAUUACUGGGCGUAAAGGGCGCGUAGGCGGCCUGCUAAGUCGAACGUGAAAUCCCCGGGCUCAACCCGGGAACUGCGUCCGAUACUGGCUGGGCUUGAAUCCGGGAGAGGGAUGUGGAAUUCCAGGUGUAGCGGUGAAAUGCGUAGAUAUCUGGAGGAACACCGGUGGCGAAGGCGGCAUCCUGGACCGGUAUUGACGCUGAGGCGCGAAAGCUAGGGGAGCAAACGGG